UACGUAGGGAGCGAGCGUUGUCCGGAAUCAUUGGGCGUAAAGAGCAUGUAGGUGGAUCAAUUAGUCUGCUGUGAAAGUCAAAGGCUCAACCUUUGAAAGCCGGUGGAUACUGUUGAUCUAGAGUACGGAAGAGGCGAGUGGAAUUCCUGGUGUAGCGGUGGAAUGCGCAGAUAUCAGGAGGAACACCGGUGGUGUAGACGGCUCACUGGACCAUAACUGACGCUGAGACACGAAAGCGUGGGUAGCAAACAGG
RNAcentral lists this ribosomal RNA (253 nucleotides) under uncultured bacterium. RNAcentral's name for it is "partial 16S ribosomal RNA". It matches the Rfam family "Bacterial small subunit ribosomal RNA", at positions 524 to 776 of the family's 1533-position model. The record is from RNAcentral.